This 1024-nucleotide long non-coding RNA is filed under the name Heterocephalus glaber (naked mole-rat). RNAcentral describes it as "lncRNA (ENSHGLG00000047382.1)". The record is from RNAcentral. Lineage: Eukaryota; Metazoa; Chordata; Mammalia; Rodentia; Bathyergidae.
CCCACUCACUUCAGAAACCACUUUAUUAAAGUUAAAAUCAGAUUUACAGAAGUAUAAAACAAUGGACAGAGGUGCAGGGGCUUUCCAUACAACAGGGGGCAAAUUACCUACCUGUGGUUCUCAGAGCAAUUUUUCUUCACUUCAACAAUGCCUAAUCUUUUUUUUAAUCCUAGGAAAAAUCUCAGCAGCUGUAUUUUCUCAUGAUUUAGCAGCUAAAGAAAAUGCUCACAUUCCAAAAAUAAAAGGGGUGGAUCUGAGAGACAAGAUCCUAAAUAUAAAAUGUAACUGCCAAGCUCUGCUCUUCUGUUCCAGUCCUUUACACUUGGGGCCUGGGGUAAGAGGAAAGGUCAGCAUGCAAACUGUCUUGGAGCUAGAGAAGAAUUUAGGGAAAAUUUCUAUUAAGAGUUUGGAAUGGUUUAUGGAUACUCAUAGCCAGGUACUGCAUAUCAACAUCAUACCCAAAGAAAGAGUGUAGAUUCUGGAAUUAGCUUACCUGGGUCCAAAUAUUGGUCCCAGAUCAUAGGUAGGCAAACUCAGCACAAGUUAAGUUAGUUAGCUUCUCUACUUUUCUUAGAAAAUGAGUUUUAGUAAUAGUACCUACCUCAAAGAAGAGAUAUGAGUAAAGAAAUAUAUGUAAAGAGUUUAACACAAUACCUGGCACAAAGUAUUUAAUAAAUGUUAAACACACAAACGAAGACACUUUCAUAAAGAAUUUAUUAUGCUAAGUUAACAUAGUAGUUAUCAGAGUAAAUUAUUGAUGAGAAAAUGGAAUUAGCCUUUUUAUAUCAUAUCUUGAUUCUCUAAACCAGAAUGCUAUCUGUAUUGUAUGAACAAAGGACAUAAACUGUGCAUGCUAGUCCCUCUGUAUUCCAGGGCCUGGCACAAUACCUAUCACACAGGAACAUAAUAAAUGUAAUAAUAUUUUUUAAUAAUCCACAAAACUAAUAUAAGUAGGUAUUAACAGAAAUCAUUUAAAACCCUUAAUUUAUUCUUGAUUCUAUCUAAUGCAAAUGUAAUGCUGAAU